Molecule: long non-coding RNA, 489 nt
Organism: Anthonomus grandis grandis
Lineage: Eukaryota; Metazoa; Arthropoda; Insecta; Coleoptera; Curculionidae
Exons: 2
Source: RefSeq, a predicted model, not a curated record
GAUCUGUCGGCGGUGGUGGUGAGGGCGCCGCGACGCCGCUUUUAAGCUCGGGCGUAUAUUUUUGUUUUUCGUCGUUUAUUGGCGGGAAAACGUUGGAUACGUUUCAGAUUUAUACCGGGUAUCCAGGAACUCUACCGACAAACUUUAAAGGGUGAUUCUCCAACAAAAAAUACGAUUUUAUUUUAUAUGAAUAUUUGCAGAUAUGUUCUAUGCAUUAGGGAGCAUUUUUGACGUACAAGAAAAAAAACCAGUGACGUCCGUUGCUAGAUGAAGUGUGUAAGUAUUUAAAUCAGACUUAGCAAAAUAAAUCCAUAGGAAGAGGUGGUCCAAUUGCUAAGGCUCCUAGAUCUCCCGAUUUAAGUCCCGGAUAUUUUUGCAUUUAAUAUCGAAAGUUUAUGCCCUUCCCAUAGAAAUUAUAUUGACUAAACGAGCGAUAAUAUAAAAUUAAUUUUGUUAUGUUUUUUGUAAUAAAUCUCUUACUUUCUUUUA